GAUCAGUCUUCCGGGAAAUCUGACAGCUCAACUGUUAGGCUUCCGGGAGAUACUGUCAGGCUUGGGACCGGGAGAGGUAAGAGGUACUACAGGGGUAGGAGUGAAAUCUUGUAAUCCCUGUGGGACCACCAGUGGCGAAGGCGUCUUACCAGAACGGGUCCGACGGUGAGGGACGAAAGCUGGGGGCACGAACCGGAUUAGAUACCCGGGUAGUCCCAGCCGUAAACGAUGCUCGCUAGGUGUCUGGGAUGGUGCGACCGUUUCAGGUGCCGCAGGGAAGCCGUGAAGCGAGCCACCUGGGAAGUACGGCCGCAAGGCUGAAACUUAA
This 328-nucleotide ribosomal RNA is filed under the name uncultured archaeon. RNAcentral's name for it is "bacterial SSU rRNA". It matches the Rfam family "Archaeal small subunit ribosomal RNA", at positions 532 to 859 of the family's 1478-position model. The record is from RNAcentral.